Molecule: non-coding RNA, 95 nt
Organism: Caerostris darwini
Lineage: Eukaryota; Metazoa; Arthropoda; Arachnida; Araneae; Araneidae
Source: the annotation of a GenBank genome assembly
ACAGCCAUACCAUACUGAAUAUAUCGGUUCUCGUUAGAUCACCGAAGUCAAGCAUCAUUGGGUGGGUGACCACCUGGGAACACCGCGUGCCGUUG